AGUGAACGCUGGCGGUAGGCCUAACACAUGCAAGUCGAACGGCAGCACAGUAAGAGCUUGCUCUUACGGGUGGCGAGUGGCGGACGGGUGAGGAAUACAUCGGAAUCUACUUUUUCGUGGGGGAUAACGUAGGGAAACUUACGCUAAUACCGCAUACGACCUACGGGUGAAAGCAGGGGAUCUUCGGACCUUGCGCGAUUGAAUGAGCCGAUGUCGGAUUAGCUAGUUGGCGGGGUAAAGGCCCACCAAGGCGACGAUCCGUAGCUGGUCUGAGAGGAUGAUCAGCCACACUGGAACUGAGACACGGUCCAGACUCCUACGGGAGGCAGCAGUGGGGAAUAUUGGACAAUGGGCGCAAGCCUGAUCCAGCCAUACCGCGUGGGUGAAGAAGGCCUUCGGGUUGUAAAGCCCCUUUGUUGGGAAAGAAAAGCAGCAGGUUAAUACCCCGCUGUCCUGACGGUACCCAAAGAAUAAGCACCGGCUAACUUCGUG
Molecule: ribosomal RNA, 492 nt
Filed under: uncultured bacterium
Lineage: Bacteria
Description: partial 16S ribosomal RNA
Rfam family: Bacterial small subunit ribosomal RNA
Source: RNAcentral